This 274-nucleotide ribosomal RNA is filed under the name uncultured bacterium. Its description in RNAcentral is "partial 16S ribosomal RNA". It matches the Rfam family "Bacterial small subunit ribosomal RNA", at positions 523 to 796 of the family's 1533-position model. The record is from RNAcentral.
CUACGGAGGGUGCAAGCGUUACUCGGAAUCACUGGGCGUAAAGCGCGCGCAGGCGGCUAUUUAAGUUGGAUGUGAAAGCCUACGGCUCAACCGUAGAACUGCAUCCAAUACUAUUUAGCUAGAGUGUGGGAGAGGAAGAUGGAAUUAGUUGUGUAGGGGUAAAAUCCGUAGAGAUAACUAGGAAUACCAAAAGCGAAGGCAAUCUUCUGGAACACUACUGACGCUGAGGCGCGAAAGCGUGGGGAGCAAACGGGAUUAGAUACCCUAGUAGUCC